This 587-nucleotide ribosomal RNA is filed under the name uncultured bacterium. RNAcentral's name for it is "bacterial SSU rRNA". It matches the Rfam family "Bacterial small subunit ribosomal RNA", at positions 338 to 943 of the family's 1533-position model. The record is from RNAcentral.
CCUACGGGAGGCAGCAGUGAGGAAUUUUCCGCAAUGGGCGAAAGCCUGACGGAGCAAUACCGCGUGAGGGAUGAAGGAUUUUGGUCUGUAAACCUCUUUUCUCAAGAAAGAAGUUCUGACGGUACUUGAGGAAUAAGCAUCGGCUAGCUCCGUGCCAGCAGCCGCGGUAAUACGGGGGAUGCAAGCGUUAUCCGGAAUGAUUGGGCGUAAAGCGCCUGUAGGUUGUUUAUUAAGUCCGUUGUUAAAGCCUAGGGCUCAACCCUAGAAAAGCAAUGGAAACUAGUAGACUAGAGUAUGGCAGGGGUAGAGGGAAUUUCUAGUGUAGCGGUGAAAUGCGUAGAUAUUAGAAAGAACACCGGUGGCGAAAGCGCUCUACUGGACCAUUACUGACACUCAGAGGCGAAAGCUAGGGUAGCAAAAGGGAUUAGAUACCCCUGUAGUCCUAGCCGUAAACGAUGGAUACUAGAUGUUGUGCAUUAUGUACAGUAUCGUAGCUAACGCGUUAAGUAUCCCGCCUGGGGAGUACGCUCGCAAGGGUGAAACUUAAAGAUAUGCGUGNGAGAGCGACGACGACGACGACGGAGGAG